RNAcentral lists this ribosomal RNA (498 nucleotides) under uncultured bacterium. Its description in RNAcentral is "partial 16S ribosomal RNA". It matches the Rfam family "Bacterial small subunit ribosomal RNA", at positions 30 to 523 of the family's 1533-position model. The record is from RNAcentral.
AUUGAACGCUGGCGGCAUGCCUUACACAUGCAAGUCGAACGGUAACAGGUCUUCGGAUGCUGACGAGUGGCGAACGGGUGAGUAAUACAUCGGAACGUGCCUAGUAGUGGGGGAUAACUACUCGAAAGAGUGGCUAAUACCGCAUGAGAUCUACGGAUGAAAGCAGGGGAUCGCAAGACCUUGUGCUACUAGAGCAGCCGAUGGCAGAUUAGGUAGUUGGUGGGAUAAAAGCUUACCAAGCCGACGAUCUGUAGCUGGUCUGAGAGGACGAUCAGCCACACUGGGACUGAGACACGGCCCAGACUCCUACGGGAGGCAGCAGUGGGGAAUUUUGGACAAUGGGCGAAAGCCUGUUCCAGCAAUGCCGCGUGCAGGAUGAAGGCCUUCGGGUUGUAAACUGCUUUUAUACGGAACGAAAAGCCCCGGGUUAAUACCCUGGGGUCAUGACGGUACCGUAAGAAUAAGCACCGGCUAACUACGUGCCAGCCGCCGCAGUAA